This 1225-nucleotide long non-coding RNA is filed under the name Homo sapiens (human). RNAcentral describes it as "non-protein coding lnc-WWOX-4:2". Lineage: Eukaryota; Metazoa; Chordata; Mammalia; Primates; Hominidae. The record is from RNAcentral.
AUUCCUUCAAUUAAUGAAAUGCAUUUGGUGUUUUUAAUCGUAUUUAUUUUACUUUAUGAGAAGGGGGAGACGCUAGGAGGGUGCAUUAAAAAAAAAAAAAAAUUCUGAAAAGCCUGCAAAAGGAUCGAAGAGUGGAAACUAUUGUUGGAGCGAGUUGGUUUUUACCUCAACAGCGCCACCUUUCGGCAAAGGUUUCUUCCUUGGAAAACAAUAUACAUCACUUAAUGAAAUCUUUGUUUGUUUUGCACAAGAGAUGUAAAAAAUCCAGAUGUUUUCUUCAGUGAGAAUUCCUGGGAAGGUGUACCAGCCUUCUUCUCUUUCUUCACCUGACAAAGACACCCAACACGGCCUCUCAGACCGGAGGUGUUUAAUAUAUAGUUUUGACACGCAUGAACAUGGGAAUGAAAGGGCUCCUUUUGGUUUUAGACAAUAGACAGAGCUAUAAAAUGAUGAUGGAGCCUGUUUUCCCCACUCUUGUCAUUUUAAGUCAAUAGAUUUCCUGGGUUUCUUCCCCCGCCCCCCCACUUUGCCUUUUCAGGGGAUAGGCAUCUCCUUAGAUUUUUGUUUUUCUUCACUUAGGGUCAGCUUUAUGAUUCGUUCUUCUGCUGUCAUCCUUUUUCAUCCUAUUCACAGCCUGUACCGGUGAGGGAAUUUGUCUCAAAAGCAUUCAGCCCUUCAAAGAUUUUUAUUGUGGUGAACUCAGAACUGAUAAACAGAAAAACAGAAACAGAAAAAGGGAACUGAUAUGGGGGCGAUCUUGAUGCGGGUUGUGUCUCUCAUGCAUGAUAACUCAGAGGACAGGCUCCUCGGUAGUGCGGUAGUGCUAACUCUGUGAAGUUUCUUCACCCUCCUUCCUAGCCCUGGAGGCGGGGUGAUUCAUAGCUCCUGUUCCAAAGGCAUUCAGCAGCCAUUCGACCUGGGAAAGAAACAGAGUUUUAGAAAAUACAGGCCAAAUGUAGAGACGCCUGUGAUUACCAGGAUGAGUAUGUCAGUGCAGGUGGCUUCUGAAUUUCUGUUUCUGAGUUUGUUUGGCUGAUGCCUAAGGAAAGGGGUCCCUUACAGCCCUGUUUUAUACCUUAGUUCUUGGUGGCAACGUGGGUGUUGCUGAUCUCUCUGAUGUGUUUUUCUGUGCACUGAAAACACCAGACAUGCUCCGUGACAUCCUCGGAGCAUCUCCCAUCAUAAUGGAGUGUUCCUAACCUGACAAAGAAUAGCAUAUUACCUC